GUAUAGACCCGAAACCCGGUGAUCUAGCCAUGGGCAGGUUGAAGGUUGGGUAACACUAACUGGAGGACCGAACCGACUAAUGUUGAAAAAUUAGCGGAUGACCUGUGGCUGGGGGUGAAAGGCCAAUCAAACCGGGAGAUAGCUGGUUCUCCCCGAAAGCUAUUUAGGUAGCGCCUCGUGAAUUCAUCUCCGGGGGUAGAGCACUGUUUCGGCUAGGGGGCCAUCCCGGCUUACCAACCCGAUGCAAACUGCGAAUACCGGAGAAUGUUAUCACGGGAGACACACGGCGGGUGCUAACGUCCGUCGUGAAGAGGGAAACAACCCAGACCGCCAGCUAAGGUCCCAAAGUCAUGGUUAAGUGGGAAACGAUGUGGGAAGGCCCAGACAGCCAGGAUGUUGGCUUAGAAGCAGCCAUCAUUUAAAGAAAGCGUAAUAGCUCACUGGUCGAGUCGGCCUGCGCGGAAGAUGUAACGGGGCUAAACCAUGCACCGAAGCUGCGGCAGCGACGCUUAUGCGUUGCUGGGUAGGGGAGCGUUCUGUAAGCCUGCGAAGGUGGCCUGUGAGGGUUGCUGGAGGUAUCAGAAGUGCGAAUGCUGACAUAAGUAACGAUAAAGCGGGUGAAAAGCCCGCUCGCCGGAAGACCAAGGGUUCCUGUCCAACGUUAAUCGGGGCAGGGUGAGUCGACCCCUAAGGCGAGGCCGAAAGGCGUAGUCGAUGGGAAACGGGUUAAUAUUCCCGUACUUGGUGUUACUGCGAAGGGGGGACGGAGAAGGCUAUGUUGGCCGGGCGACGGUUGUCCCGGUUUAAGCGUGUAGGUGUGUGUUCCAGGUAAAUCCGGUUCACUUUAACACUGAGGCGUGACGACGAGGCACUACGGUGCUGAAGCAACAAAUGCCCUGCUUCCAGGAAAAGCCUCUAAGCAUCAGGUAACAUCAAAUCGUACCCCAAACCGACACAGGUGGUCAGGUAGAGAAUACCAAGGCGCUUGAGAGAACUCGGGUGAAGGAACUAGGCAAAAUGGUGCCGUAACUUCGGGAGAAGGCACGCUGACAC
This 1053-nucleotide ribosomal RNA is filed under the name Salmonella enterica subsp. enterica serovar Mississippi. Its description in RNAcentral is "partial 23S ribosomal RNA". It matches the Rfam family "Bacterial large subunit ribosomal RNA", at positions 707 to 1757 of the family's 2925-position model. Lineage: Bacteria; Pseudomonadati; Pseudomonadota; Gammaproteobacteria; Enterobacterales; Enterobacteriaceae. The record is from RNAcentral.